Molecule: ribosomal RNA, 700 nt
Filed under: uncultured bacterium
Lineage: Bacteria
Description: bacterial SSU rRNA
Rfam family: Bacterial small subunit ribosomal RNA
Source: RNAcentral
AGUGGCGAACGGGUGAGUAAUGCAUCGGAACAUGCCCAUUAGUGGGGGAUAGCCCGGCGAAAGCCGGAUUAAUACCGCAUACGAUCUAUGGAUGAAAGCCGGGGACCGCAAGGCCUGGCGCUAAUGGAGUGGCCGAUGUCAGAUUAGCUAGUUGGUGGGGUAAAGGCUCACCAAGGCAACGAUCUGUAGCUGGUUUGAGAGAACGACCAGCCACACUGGGACUGAGACACGGCCCAGACUCCUACGGGAGGCAGCAGUGGGGAAUUUUGGACAAUGGGCGCAAGCCUGAUCCAGCAAUGCCGCGUGCAGGAUGAAGGCCUUCGGGUUGUAAACUGCUUUUGUACGGAACGAAACGGCUCUGGUUAAUACCCGGGGCUAAUGACGGUACCGUAAGAAUAAGCACCGGCUAACUACGUGCCAGCAGCCGCGGUAAUACGUAGGGUGCAAGCGUUAAUCGGAAUUACUGGGCGUAAAGCGUGCGCAGGCGGUAAUGUAAGACAGAGGUGAAAUCCCCGGGCUUAACCUGGGAACUGCCUUUGUGACUGCAUUGCUAGAGUACGGUAGAGGGGGGUGGAAUUCCGCGUGUAGCAGUGAAAUGCGUAGAUAUGCGGAGGAACACCGAUGGCGAAGGCAGCCCCCUGGACCUGUACUGACGCUCAUGCACGAAAGCAUGGGGAGCAAACAGGAUUAGAUACCCUGG